Small nuclear RNA from Cavia aperea (Brazilian guinea pig), 107 nucleotides. NCBI's taxonomy places the organism in Eukaryota, Metazoa, Chordata, Mammalia, Rodentia, Caviidae. The record is from Ensembl.
GUGCUGGCUUUGGCAACACAUACCCUAAAAUUGGAAAAAUACAGAGAAGUUCAACAUGAUCCUUAUGCAAGGAUGACAUACAAAAGCAUGAAGUGUUUCAUGUUAUA